GAUGAACGCUGACAGCAUGCUUAACACAUGCAAGUCGAUGGGGAAGUGGUGCUUGCACCGUGGCAACCAUGGCGGACGGGUGAGUAACGCGUAAGGGACUUACCUGCAGGACUGGGAUAACAGGGGGAAACUCCUGACAAGACCGGAUGAUGUCAUGGAGCUGCAUGGCUUUAUGAUGAAAGGAGACGCCUGCGGAGAGGCUUGCGUCCUAUUAGCUAGUUGGUGAGGUAAUGGCUCACCAAGGCGAAGAUAGGUAGCCGGCCUGAGAGGGUGGACGGCCACAAGGCGACUGAGAUACGGCCCUUACUCCUACGGGAGGCAGCAGUGGUGAAUAUUGGACGAUGGUGGCAACCCUGAUGCAGCAAUUCUGUGUGCACGAAGAAGGUUGUCGGAGUGUAAAGUGCUUUCAGCAGGGAAGAAGUAAGUGACGGUACCUGCAGAAGAAGCGACGGCUAAAUACGUG
RNAcentral lists this ribosomal RNA (463 nucleotides) under uncultured bacterium. Its description in RNAcentral is "partial 16S ribosomal RNA". It matches the Rfam family "Bacterial small subunit ribosomal RNA", at positions 28 to 507 of the family's 1533-position model. The record is from RNAcentral.